UUAAGUAUGAGGUGAUUAAUUGGAGGGCAAAUCAAGUGCCAGCAGCCGCGGUAAUACUUGUUCCAAGAGUGUGUAUGAUGAUUGAUGCAGUUAAAAAGUCCGUAGUUUAUUUUUUUAAAAACAUAAGGGGUAGAAUGGAAAAAAGGACACCA
This 152-nucleotide ribosomal RNA is filed under the name Vairimorpha ceranae. RNAcentral describes it as "Nosema ceranae partial small subunit ribosomal RNA". It matches the Rfam family "Microsporidia small subunit ribosomal RNA", at positions 355 to 506 of the family's 1311-position model. The record is from RNAcentral. Lineage: Eukaryota; Fungi; Microsporidia; Nosematidae.